RNAcentral lists this ribosomal RNA (250 nucleotides) under uncultured bacterium. Its description in RNAcentral is "partial 16S ribosomal RNA". It matches the Rfam family "Bacterial small subunit ribosomal RNA", at positions 524 to 773 of the family's 1533-position model. The record is from RNAcentral.
UACGGAGGGUGCAAGCGUUGUCCGGAUUUAUUGGGUUUAAAGGGUGCGUAGGCGGGUCUUUAAGUCAGUGGUGAAAGCCGACAGCUCAACUGUCGAAAUGCCAUUGAUACUGGGGAUCUUGAGUACAGUAGAGGUAGGCGGAAUUAAUGGUGUAGCGGUGAAAUGCAUAGAUACCAUUAAGAACACCGAUUGCGAAGGCAGCUUACUAUAGUGUAACUGACGCUGAGGCACGAAAGUGUGGGGAUCAAAC